Molecule: long non-coding RNA, 4523 nt
Filed under: Lynx pardinus (Iberian lynx)
Lineage: Eukaryota; Metazoa; Chordata; Mammalia; Carnivora; Felidae
Source: RNAcentral
UGCCACUUGGCAGAAGGACCCCGUGGUAGGAAAGCGAGACCCGAUUAAGCCUUGCCAGGUACUGACUCAUUCCACCUAUGUGGAAGGGUGUGCAACCUUGAAAAGAACAUUUGGAUUAAAAAUAGUGGGUGAACUUGUGGUUCUAAUGCUAACGCCCUUUUUAAUUCAUGGAGUACAGUACAGUAUACUAUAUUUCUAGGGUUUAACCGCCUUACUUAAGUGUCCCAGCCAGUUUUUAACACGUGCUUUUUCUGCUAAUUUACAGAGUUCAAGUGGAGUCACACUUACAUUUUGAACUUCAUUUCUAAUGCAGACACUUAAAACAGCUCUAUUCACCUCCCAAAAAGGUAAUGCGGAUUCCUCCAGUAAAGGAGCAUAUGAGUAUUUAUUGAAUUCUUGUGCUUGUCAAAAACCACAACAUUAUCUGUGUUUUCACUGAAGGAAAAGCACUGCCAAAAAGCGGGGGGCCUGGGGAGAUGGGGAGGCAAAGGAGGAUUGGGAAGCAAAUACUUAACCCUGUACAUACCGGGAUUUUCAUCCACCGGUGUGAAAGUUUGUAGAAAAUAAGUGUUGGUGAGGAUAUGGAGGAACUGGAACCCUUGUGCAUUGCUUGUGGGCAUGCAAAAUGGUGUAGUUGCUUUGAAAAAGUUUGAUGAUUUCUCAGAAAAUGAAACACAGAGUUACCAUAUGAUCCACUGAAAGCAGACACUCAGUUACUGGUACAUCCAUGUUCACAGUAACAUUGUUUCCAAUAGCCAAAGGGUAGAAACAACCCAAGUAAAUGUAGAAAGGAAUGGAUAAACAAAAUGUGGUAUGUACAUGCAAUGGAGUAUUUAGUCAACCUUAAGGAGUCAGUAAUACCUGCUACAACAUAGGAGAAUCUUGAAAACAUGUUAAGUGAAAUAAGCCAGACACAAAGACAAAUACUGUAUGAUUCCACCGAUAUGAGGAACUUAGUCAAGUUCAUAGAGACAAAAAGUGAAACAGAGUUUACCAGGGUCCAGGGAGAGGAGAGAAUGGGGAGUUACUAUUUAAUAGGUACAGAAUUUGUUUGGGAUGAUGGAAACGUCCUGGAAAUGUGAUGGUUGUACAACAUUAUGAAUGUAAGUAACGCCUCUGAAUUACACACUUAAAAAUGGUGUAUGGACUGUAUAUUUCACCAUACACACACACACACACACACACAGAACUCAUCAAAUACAAUCUAUAUUUGCAACCAAUCAUUGGAUAACUUUAAUUCCAGCAUUUGGGUUGUACAAACAUAAUUUGUGAAAACCUUUUCAAGUUUUGAUUUGAGAACUAAAUGAGAGAAAUUCAUGUUCAAAGCUUACAAGAUGCUGUUUUUCAGUGUAUGUGUGUUUGUUUUAAAUUCUGAAUACACUAGAUAGUAUGUGCAGGAUGAAUAUAGGUAACGAUGUUUAAAUGUUAGAAUUCCUAAACACUCAACUACAUACAUUGUAUUAUACACACUGGAGACAACCAAAUCUAUUCUCGUUAUGUAGUUGGAAAUAAACUAUUUUGAUAUCUUACAUUUGACCUAUCAAUCAACAUCAUUAGAAAAACCAUAAUUUCAGGGCACCUGGGUGGCUCAGUUGGUUAAGUGUCUGACUCUUGGUUUCAGCUCAGGUCAUGAUCCCAUGGUCAUGAGAUCAAGCCCCACAUCAGGCCCUGGGCUGAGUGUGGAGCCUGCUUAAGAUCCUCUCUUUCCCUCUGCCCUUCUUCCCUGCUCACACUCAAAAUAAAUAAACUUAAAAAAAUAAAGUGUUAAAAACAAACAAAAAAGCCCCACAAUUUCAAACUGGCUCUUUCUAAACAUACAGCCAAGACAAAUGGCAUCUUCCAUACUGUUAUUCGGAUGGAUUUUACCUUAGGGGUUUUUUUGGGAGGUGGGGAGGCUAAAUGCUCCCUGCGCAUAGUUCAUAUAUUUCAAAUACCAUUUUCUUAGCCAUUCGACAAGUAAGAAAAUGCUGAUUUAUUUUCUCCCCUUUUGUAUAUGGGAAAAUACAAGGUGUUCAAGCUGAGAUGGUAUGUAUACGAUGCCGAAACCUUCAUCAACUCCUCCAAAGCUUGUUUGCACUCUUCUGUUUGGACUGUUUUUCCAUGUGUGGCUUGUGAAAUCACAGGAGGAGUGACUAUUGCCCAGGUACGUGUUUAGCUGGCACAGCAGUGCUUUCCAGGUUGCCCACUAACCUUGUGAGUACAUGUGAAUAGAAUUAUUCUUUUUUCCACCAUCAAAAUGAGUGACCGUUAUUUAGAGCAACGAAUUCAUGUUAAGUUGUGUGUAAAGUUAAAUAAAUCUGCAAGUGAGACACUUGAGAUGUUAAAAGUAGUUUAUGGUGAAGAAGUAAUGUCGAGAGCAAGAGUUUUUGACUGGCACAAAAGGUUUAAAGAAGGCAGAGAUGAUAUCCAUGGUGAUGUGAAAAGUGGCUGUCCAGUUAUCCACAGAACACAGGAAAACAUUGAGAAGGUCAGAAAUCGGGUUGGCUCAGAUAGCUGAAAAGUGAAAUGUAGACUAAGAAACAAACUCAUGCUGAAAGAAAACUUGCACAUGAGGAAAGUUUCUAGGAGGAUUAUAUCUCAUUCUGUUGUGGUUCAGGACCCUGCUGAGGCCAAACGAUAACAGAGCUGCACAUGAACCUGACACUUGGGUAUAUAUUCAGGGCACAAUCCUACAUACAGUUUAGUUUCACUGGUCUUGGAGUAACUUGUAUCUGAAUCUCAAGUGAGCUGAGCUUUUUCAAACGUGUUCCGUUGGCUUUGUAGGUACAUGAUUUGAGCAGAGUCAAACCUGUGGAGUUGAGUGUGACAAAGGAGAGAGCGUGGAGCCUAGAGGUUUAUUGGGAACCUGGCCCUCUGUUACCGCAGUACCUAAAUUUCUACCUUGUCUUUUCAGGGUGAGCUCAUUUGAAUAAUCAGUAGGUUACCUACAGUCUGGGCAGUUAAACUUUCAACAAGGAGCUGGACAUCAGUGUUACUCUGUAUGGAAAUACUUCAUGUUAUUUUUUUAAUGUUUAUUUAUUUUUGAGGGAGAGAGUGUGAGCGGGACAAAGAGACAAUGGGGGGACAGAGGAUGCAAAGCGGGCUCUGCACUGACAGCAGUGAGCCCGAUGCGGGACUUGAAUUCACGAACCAUGAGAUCAUAAUCUUAGUUGAAGUCGGAUGCUCAACCACCUGAGCCUCCCAGGUGCCCCUUUGUGGUACUAUUUCAACAACGAUAAGAAAAGAAUGGCCAUCUUUAGGCAGAAAUAUUCAGACUUGUAAUAAUGGAAUUUUUGUGGUGGGAGAUUGAGGUCAGAUGUUGGAAACUGGAAUUCAAAUCUGUCAGCAAGAAUGAAACAGAAGAGGCUGUAGGAAUAGUGGGCAGUUUUAGUAAAAAUAUACUCUUCCCUUCCACUCCCCCCACCCCCAAAUCAGGACCUGAUUUUGGUCAAAAGCCCACAAAACUUUCUAUUCUUUAUGUAAUCUAAAUUUUAGUUUCAAAUGGAUUCUUAUAUAUAAACUGUUUGGGUCUGGAAUUUGGCAUGAAGGGGAGACAAAUAGAGUUCAAUUUUGUUCCUAACUUCUUUCACCAGGAGAACGAGAUUCCAUGCUUCGAGUUUUGAAAGGCAUGACUGCAAUUAGCAACGUGUGAAUAACAACAUACACAAUCUCUUCAUCAACAACAAGGAACUGCAUUCUGACCUUCACAUUGUCUACGUGUGCUACUGAGUGUGGGGUCAUAUCCUAAGCUUCAGCUCUAAUAAGCAUUCAUCACAGGGAAGGUACGAUCUUGGAUAUUCAGUUGGCUACAAAUAGCUUUAAGUACAUUUAUGGUCAAGUCAAAUGGUAGCUUUGCUGACACAUUAAUAGAAAAGCAUUGGUAAUUCAUGUCAGAAUGAGAUACAAAAUAAUAGGUGAAAAAUGAUUUCACAUAAAAGAAAUUUUGAUAAACCUAGAAAACAAUUUCAGUUAUUUUUGUCCAUUAACAUUAGCAUUUUAAAGAGCUACUUGAAUCACAUGUUGUUCCUUCCCAUAAGAAGAGAUUUUGAGUACAACAGGAUGAAUUUCUCAUUGAGAAACUUGUUUUUGCCCCAGUUUCCUUUCUAGUCUCCAGUAGGACACGGUCAUCAUUCAGUAUUGGUAUUGUAGCAACUUAGAUGUACCAAAUGGCAACAUAUAGGACUUAAGUCAGAGCCCCAUGGCAGUGACUCUGAAAAGACUAGUUUUAUUAGUUAUACUAUUAAGGGUUUUUUGUUGCUGUUUUAAAAGACUCCCAGAAAUCCAAAUUUACAUUUUGUGGAACAUGAGCCAAAACUACUUGAGGUUGUUAUGGAAAAAUGGUCUCAUUUUAAUGGUCUAUAUUACCUCUGGGACCCUGCUGGUCAAAGCUGUGUGGCCCACAAGGCAAAAAUUAGAAUGAUCUUUUUCAUAUUGUCUUAAUUUUUUAUUACUGACUUUGUUACAGCUUGAUCUUUGGAGGUGCUUUGUACUGUGUAAAUGAAAUUUACUGAAAAUGUACAUAAGUAACUGACGUCCCAAUAAAC